CUGCCGGGCCCCCCCUCUCUUUCUCUCUCUUUAUUCUCUCUCUCCCUCUGUCUCUUUUUUCUCUUCUUUCCUUGUUAAUCAGACACCACCGCAAUAAAGAUCUCUUGGUCUCUCUAAGUGUCGUGGUCACUUUCCUUUCAUCCAGUACUGUAACCCAGGAAGACGGUGAAAACCCACUUUUGGGUCCUUCUUCCUUCAGACGUGCCAGUCACCAGAUGACCUGAACCCAUUUUCUUGACCUCCAGAACUACAUCCACCACCGACCUUCGAUUGGUGAGUUUCCCCUUUCUGGAGUCCUAAACCCAAUGGUGGUGUCAGGAGGAUUUGACCUCUUCGCCCACCUGUGGGGAGGAAAAGACCCCAUCAAAGCCUUCAAGUCCAUGAUGGUCCCCAUGGACUCCCUCCUUGGGCAGAUUUGACUCUUGGGUUCAAAAUUCCUUCCCUUCCUCUUCCCUGGCAUAGACCUCAUACAUCAUCUUCAAAGGACUGUUAACUUUCAAGAACACAUAAAGAGAGGAAAAUCACAUCCCACCUAGACCUUCACGAUCUCGGUGUCCCUCAUAAAGUCUUCUCACCUUUAAGACUCAGCUGCUAGGGAUAUGCUUACCCUCCCCUUCCAUUCUCCUUCUCCGGCCCUGGGAGUCUCCAGCCUCUCCAGGAGGAGUCCCAAAAAGCCUUGGCCAAGGUCUCCCAUGGCCCUGGUCCUGUCCAGUAUGGAAGCCUCAACUAUCAGGAUUUGGUGAUGACUAAUCUCUGCAGCUCGAACCUGCCACUAGGCAGUGCCUGAUUUUUGGCUCUAGCGGGGAUGCUCCUUUUGACAAUAAAUCAGCUCCCUCCUAUCCCUAUAUAAUGUUUGCAAGAUGGCAAUACAUCCUCUAUGCCUGCUGACUCUCCCUUACAAUGUCUCUUAGACAACCUCAAGACAUUCUCCUUGACACCGGACAUCAAACCCCACAAAUUGAUUAAAUAUAGCACCUAGGAUUGGCCUAAUUAUCCCCUAGACAACCAAAGCAAAUGACCUCCUUUUGGAUCUCUGGAUCCCUCCAUUCUAAGGGGUCUCUACAACUACUCCGAGCAUUCGAAAAAAUGGAUAAACAUCCCCUAUAUCCAAGCUUUCUUCUUGCUCUGAUCCAAUCCUGCUCUCUGCACCUCUUGAAAACAUCUACACAUUCUUCUAGCUUGCAAACCAACCCCCCCAACCACUGACCCCCCAACCUUCUCUUCUUCUGGACUCAUCCACUACUUUGGACCCUGCUGAUGAACCUCCACUCUAUUGCCUGGCUCAAAUAGGUCCUCACCCUUAACCUUCUGCCCCAGCCCCUCCACCAUCACCCCUGCCUCAAUAACAUGCUUUCUCCCUUCCAAUUACUAGAUCAAAAACACCACCACCCUUCCCCAAACUGUUGUCCCCUUGUGUGAGGUAACAGGUACUAAAGGAAUCCCCCAUCCACUCACUCCUCUCUUCUCCUGUCUGUGACAACACCUGGUCCCACCAGGCCCCCUUACUGGCUAACCCAAAGCUCAAAUGAGCUGAGGAGGGCCCUCAGACCCCUAUCUUAUAUCUGGUGAAAAUAGCCUUUAAAGUUGCUUUGUUAUCACUGAAAACAAGGUUACUAAGAAUUUAAAGUCCCUUACAGGCUUUUUGGGAUGUUCGCUCCUGUACUCCCCACUGGUCUAUCUAUUCUACUGCUCAAGUUUUCCUUGCUAGGGAAAGUCCCAAACCCCUUUCCCAUUAUUUUUUUACAUCUCCUUCCUCAUUCUAAAGUCUACCUGAGCUGCUCUCAGCCCCACUUUCCUGUCUCCCCCCACCCCCAGGCCCACAGAAAAGUCUUAACUGACCUUCUCCAGAAAUCUUCACCAAGGCUGAUUUUAGGACUAUCAGCAAAAGAGUCUCUACAACAAAAUUUAAUGUAGAUAAGCUUCCUCUUUUUGUGUUGCUUGGUUUUACUUGGCCACUUGCCUGGAAAAAUCAGAACUCCAGAUGCUAGACACCUCCUCCCUAGUUUUUCACAAAAAUAUGUAAACAAGCCCUCUGGCCUUGAGCUGAGGAUUCAUAGAGGUGUCUCCAUUUCUAAGAUAAGAGAAGUUACCUGUUGGGCUCCAUGGUAACUGCUGGCAGGGGGAGGAAAGAAAGAGAAAAAAAAGCUCUCCCCUUCUCAGGUGUCCUUGAAGGGUUAAAUUGCCCAGAACAGUGAAAAAAAAAACUGCUUUUAUGUGAUCUUCUGCAGACUGUGAACUUCUGAGUCCCUCCUCUUACAUGCUGGGUAUAAAUUUCCAAAACUACCUGAACUUGGGGUUCAGGAGAUUGAUUGAUUGAUUGCAGCAGAAGCUGUGACCCUGAGCCUGGCUGCAGCCAGUUAAAAUUGUUUCCCCAUCUUCAAUGCUAUCUGUGGUGCCUUGCCUUGUCCAUCCCUACAACAUUAUAAUUCUAUAUACUUAAACCUGUUUAUGUUUUCAUGAAAUGGUAAACAGAUGUGAUUAACUGUGUACUGUAAAUAACAAAAUAUUUCUUAUUAAAAUUGAAUAAUUUGCCUAAAUUCAGAAAUUUACACGGAUUAUGUCAAAAUGUGAAUAAAGAAGGAGUUACCAGAUCAAAAAGAGAAAUCAGAAGGUUCUAGGUAUGGAUUUAAUAGAAGGGAAAAAAAGUGUUUCUGGAAUAAGAGAGUCUGUGUGAUUAAGUAAAUAAGAGGGUUUUAGUAGGUGAUAAAGAAGGUCUGUGUAAAUUGGUUAUAUACGGAAGAUUUUGUGUAAAUAAUCUUGAAGGAAUUAAGGAUUAUACAACUGUGGCUAAAAAACAACUGUUAUUUUGUAAUAUUGUAAUAUGUUAUUUCUUUAAGAGCUAAACUUGAUUAAUAUAAAAACAUCGAUGUAAUUGUGGUGCUAUUGCUCUUCUUUGUAUAUUAAAUGCGUUCAUAUUUUCCAGGUAUAUAAGUCUUUAAGGUAGAAGCUUCAAAAGAGAAUUAUAUCAAGCUGGUAUUCUCCAAAAGGUUGCAUGGUAAUUUUAGGCUUAUAAGAAUAACAUAUUGGAGAUUUGUUUAUAUCAUUUAAUGUUCUAUAACUGGACCUUUUAUCAAUAAGAUUAUAUAAGUUCUAUACACUGGGGUACAAUUUAAAUAUAAUAUUAUAUUGUGUUAGCUAAUAUUCAUGUUACCUCGAGCAGCAGUAUAUGUAAACUUCAUAAAAUGAUAUUUAAAAAACAAAGAUCAGCUUCAAUACUAGAACACUUUACCUCAGAUUUAAAAAGAGCCCCACCUUACCUGAGAUAAGGCUUUGCCUCCCAUCUUACUACAUGUCAGAAUGACUCCAAGGUAGGUCAGACUUUAGUUAAAGCCCAGUACUCUUAAUUUAAGAUGGGUGAGACUGACUUGCUAGAUGCUUAAGAUCAAGACUUAAAAUUAAAAUUAAAUUAAAAGGGCCAAUAAAACCAAUAUUUGGCUCUUACCCUCUGAAUCUGGCUGCAAUCAGAUAAACAAGGAACUUCUCUAAAGAGCUUUGCAACUCUGGGCCACAUAAUCUCCCAAUCAGGGAGAGUAAUGAGAACACCGGAGAAUAAAAAGCCAAUCAGUGCACUUGCUGUGAAUAGGAAGGUCAUUGGAGAAAGGAGACAUCCCUGAUGCUUUUAAGGGAAGCCACAUGGUCAAGUAAGUCCUGGACCCAUCCUAGUGCAAAUGGCACUAGCAGAACUAAGAAGCUGCUCUCAAGUCCCAGAUGAGUGACCCUUAUGAGAACUCAGCCUACUCUUAACAAUAGAUAGAAACAAAGUCCAUUUUGACCAUCUUGAUCUUAAACACCUACCCAAAAUAGUUAAACCAAAACACAGUCUUUUGUGGGGGUAAUGAAGGACAAGAAAAGCUAGAAAAGAGGAGACAGCAACUAGGCCAACAGUCUCCAUGGGGAAUGUUCACUCAUGUAUGACCUUGGCUCCUCCCCCUUGCAGGACCCCUAUUAGUUCUCUUUAUGUUUCUCCUAAUAGGACCAUGUUUGUUAAAUUGUCUACAGAAGUUCCUGCAAGAUCAGAUACACAAAUUCACCAACCAGUCAGUCAUUCAAUUACUCCUUCAAGACUACCAAUCCCUGAUACCCAAGAUGAAGACCUAUGACUCAUGACCAACUCCUCCAGCUCCAGAGACUCUGCCCCCAUUUAAAACUCUCCCUGACCCCUUUUCCAAUUUUUACAACCCCUCUUUCACUUCCCAGGAAUGAGAACUACUCUCUAGCAGGUCCUCUCCACAUGUUCUGUCUGCUGUACUGUAUCCCCACAAGGAAGCAUGAAACCUAAACUUCUCACGCAUCAGAUGAGGAGCUACCAGCCAGGUGAAGACUGACAGAUCGACUUCACUCACAUGCCUAGGCACAAAAACUUCUCUACCUACUUACUUUCAUUGAUACUUUUUCAGGUUGUAUAGAAGCCUUCCCUACCUCCAGGGAAAGUGCUGACACUGUCGCCUCCAUCCUCAUUGAGCAGAUCAUUCCCAGGUUUGGACUUUCCACCUCCAUCCAGUCAGAUGAUGGUCAAGCCUUCACUUCUCAGGUUGUUCAAUUAUUCUCCAAAGGCCUCAACAUCACUUGGAGGCUCCACAUCCCCUACGGACUCCAAUCCUCGGGUAAGGUUGAGAGAGCUAACAGCAUUCUCAAGGAUCACCUCACUAAACUUGCUCUUAAACUCAGGCUCUCCUGGCCCAAUCUGCUGACAUUGACCCUCACUGGAAUUUGGGCAGCCCCUAGAGCUCACUCAGGCCCCUUUGAGCAACUCUAUGGGUGCACUUUCUUAACCAACCAAAGCUUUCCAAUCACUCCUCCUCCCCUUUUAUCCUAUUUGCCCUAUCACACUUCUACACAAACUCCUAGGGGAACAUGCAAUCUGGUGCCUUCCUGCGCCACUCAUUGUCUAAAUUCCAGUGCAACCACAAACUGAAUUGGAUCCUCUUCAACUGGGUGACUCAGUCUUACUUCAAGAACUGCAACCUCAAUUGUUAGAACCUCGCUGGACAGGACCCCAUACAGUCAUACUUACUACCCCAAUGGCAGCCAAGCUUCUGGGUCACUAUCCCUGGUACCAUGUCUCCCACCUUAAAAAGGCACUUGUUCCAAAUGUCCAGUUCUGGACUUCCACCACACCCACCAAUCACAAAAUUUCUUGCCAAUCCUCUUCUUCUUAUACUAAUCAUUAAUCUCGCUCAAGCGAGAUGUAUGUAUGUAUGUAUGUAUGUAGAUGGCAUUUCUACAUCCAAGCAAUAUAGCACCAGGAUGGUAUCACCCACUCUCAGUUUAUGGGUCAAAGCGAUUGCCCUUCCACUGGCUGCAAUCAGGUCAUCACCUUAACAUUACUGGGUUCAACCAAACCACCUCUGAUAUUUCCUAGAGUCCUUACCACAGGACCAAUGGCUGAUACCAAGGAUCUCCACUGCUCAAACUAUGGCUUCAAGGAACCUUUAUGGACUUUGCCCUUUCCUGGAUAACUGUCCAUAGCCAGUGUGUGUUAUUUCUAGCUGCUCUGGUAUUCCCAAGCCUUUCCCCGAACAUUCCCCCUCUCUCUCCCAGGUAGGCCCCACACCGCCCCCUCUCAGCAGGAAGUAGCCAGUUUGAAUUACACCAUCCCCAAGCCACUUAGAAAAACAAAAAGGGAGAAAUGUUAGUUGCAGAGCAGGCAGAACAAAUGUUAGCUGCAAUGUGGGCUGAACACUGGACCCUCACACGUCUGGAUUCUUAUGACUUGUUUGCCUCAGAAUGAACACUCAAGCCCACUCAAGGCUGAACAUUCAACCCCCACCAGUCUGGUGCAAAGGAAGCACACAUCUGACCCCUGACCUGUCUGCCUGAAGGCAGAAGAUGACACCCUUAGCAACUACUGUAUGAUCCAAUCACUGUACGCCAACAAGGCAGCUUGCAGACCCAGAGACCCCAUUAGAUUUUGGCUAUAAAACUCUCUCCUGCCAGGCCUCCCUCUCUUGCUCUCUCUUUCUUCUCUCUUCCUCUUUUUUUCUCUUCCUUCCUUGUUAAUCAGACACCACCACAAUAAAGAUCUCUUUGUUGCUCCAAGUGUUGUGGUCACUUUCCUUUUAGAACUCAGAUAGAUCUGGUUCUGAGUCCACACCACAGCAAUGAUAUUUGACACACCACUUCUUCAGGUCUCUGUUUACUCAUUUAUUAGAUGGGUAUAAUAAUUUCUCUCCAUACAUAAGAUAAUCUUAAAUUUAAGAAUUGAAUAACCUGUAAAGGCAAUUAUUUUUUGGCUAUGUUAUUUCUGAAGAUAGGAUAGAGGAAUAUGUCUUAACUGGCAUAUUUAGGAAAGUUAUUAUCAAAAUGUUUCUUAGAAGGUUCAAUACUUCCUUGGAACCUGUGACACCAUCACAAUUUACAUUCCUGGAGUGAUCUCCCCAGCCAUCGAGGAGGAAGGGGGCUGUCUUCUGGUGUUCACAUUCACCUAUCAUAUGACAACUUGGGGCAAGGCACUCAACUUUUUAGCUUAGUGUUUCUUAUAUGUAGGAUGGGAGUGAGUAAUUCCUGCAGCUGCUGUGGAUGAACUGACCAGUCCAAAAUGAGAAAAUGUAAAUAGUGACUCAAGGUUACCAAAACAGGACUGUUAUGUCUAGGCUUAGGGGAGGGAACUGGAGAAUCCAGCAGGGGUGUCUUCCAGAAGAAGCUCUGCCUAAGUCCCUCCAGGGAGGGCAGUGGAGCUGUACA
Molecule: long non-coding RNA, 6684 nt
Filed under: Marmota monax (woodchuck)
Lineage: Eukaryota; Metazoa; Chordata; Mammalia; Rodentia; Sciuridae
Source: RNAcentral